This is a long non-coding RNA of Chrysemys picta bellii (western painted turtle), 2019 nucleotides long. The record is from Ensembl. Lineage: Eukaryota; Metazoa; Chordata; Testudines; Emydidae.
GCACAUCUAAAUUACCCCAAUUCAGCAGAGCAACGGCCCAUCUCAUCUGACAUCUGAUCUCGCAGUCACCUGAGACUUUUGAUGGCUGCUUCAGAGUCAAGUGCAAAACUCCCAGUUUGUUUUAAUUACAAAGGAUGUUUGCGUGAAGACGGAGGGGAAGAUUCAUCAGAUGGGGUGCCGGGACUGAAAUUGGCAGCUUGCAUCUCACCUGUUCAGGGGUGCCCGUUUGGACCCCGGUACUGGUAAGGGAAGCCCAGAGAUCUUUCCCUUACUUGCAUCCUGGUGCAAUGACCUAGAUGGGCCAUUGUAGGGGAAAAGAACUACCAGGGUGUAGGAAAACCCAGGUCACACCUCUCCAGCCCCAACAUGAUCCCUUCUCCCUUAUUCAGUCUACCACUUCCUGACAUGCCUCCUGCAGCCAGGGCUUUUCCUGCCUGCAGUGGAGGCAGUGCAUAGUUAGCAGAGCUGGUCUGAUGCAGGGUUCUCUGUUCUAGGAUUUCCCCCCCCCCCCGAAGUAGAGGGCCUUACACCUACCUGAUGGCCCCUUCGUACCAGCCUAACAGUGCAACAAGGUUGCAUAGCACUGACAAUUCUGGCUCAGAGACCUGCUCCCUAUCACAAAUCCAGAAGAACUCUGCCGCUUCAGUGAAGUGCUGUGUUUCCAUGCUGGUGUACGUGAGAGGAGAAUUUAGUCUAGGACAUUUGCUCCUUAGGACCCUUCUUUUUCUUUUUUUGAAAGAGCCCCACCAAGGCAUACUCUAUUUGUGCACAGAAAUGCUCACACAACUGUAGAUGCUCAAAUACUUGCAUAUUUUUGCUGUCAGACCUCAGGCCUCCUGACGUUACCACCCCAGUCUUGCAAAGGUGCAAAUGCUUCCUGCGGUGCUGAGGGUCUGUACACCGACUGGCUCUAGGUUAUGGUCGAGAGCUUACCGUGUCUGGUGGGAACCACAGAAGAGGAGGAAUACAGAACAUUUCUGCUCUCAGCAGAAUCAUCCAUGCGCUGUAGCCAUUGCGGGAAAAACAAACCAAGACCAAAAAAACCCAACGCUACCAGCAAAAUUCAUUUUGUUUCUGCUCAGACAUUGGAUGGAAGGACUAAAUUACCAAGCACAGGCACACAUUAUACAGACAGUGAUUAUCCGUGGCCAGUGUUUACAGCGUCUCAUGGAAAGGAUGGAUGUAGAGAGUCGAGCCUAUACAAUGUGGUUUUGAUCAAGGGUGUUUACAGGAAAGGUGGAACGCUUCUCCUUACUUUUCUCUGUCCCACAGUUCUGCAUUCACCUGUACCCCAGGUACUUUUUAACCAGUCUCUCCUCUUGAGUCAAGUUCUAUCCUCACUAAUUAUAUAACACACGGGCCAUCACACAGAGCAUGAUAUGCUUAGAGUGUCGAAGGGACUCACUCACUUGUUAUUGUUAAGCUUAAUAUUAGCACCUUUGACUUCCCAGUGAAAUAUUUUGGGGCAUGUCUCAAAACUGGUGCAUGACAAUAGGCAAAUCACUUAGGGCCAGAUGUGCAAAAGUAUUUAGGCACCUUGAGAUGCAGAUGGUAGAAUUUAUAAAAGCGCCUACGCAGGUUAGGUGCUUAACUCCCAUUGAAAGUCGAUGAGAGUUUGGUGUCUAACAAACACCCUUCAAAUGUUUUUGCCCAAGCAGAAUUGUGUCCAAAUGUCCAUUUUGGAACCUGUGGGGUGGUUAGGACACUCACCUGGGAUGUGGCAGACCCACAUUCAACUCCAUGCUCUGCCUGAUUCAGAGAAAGUUUUUAAUCGCAGAUCACACUCAUUCAGGCAGACCAGGGACAUGAACCUGGGUUUUCCCCAUCAUUAGCAGUGUCCAAGCCACCAGGAUACAGGAGGGGAGUCUGAGCUCUCCUUGAAACGGAUAUGUAUCCACAAAACACUGGUGAAAUUUCAUUUUGCCAAAAAUAUUCCAACCAGCUUUAGUCUCACUAUCAGUUAGGGCUUCUAGGCUUUAAUGUAAUACUUCUACUAAUAAAUAACAGUAACAAACAGCA